Conoideocrella luteorostrata is the source of this 139-nucleotide non-coding RNA. Lineage: Eukaryota; Fungi; Ascomycota; Sordariomycetes; Hypocreales; Clavicipitaceae. The record is from the annotation of a GenBank genome assembly.
UCCUCCGUGGCGCAAUUGGCUAGCGCGUCUGACUGUUAAUCAGGAGGUAAGUUAUCAAAUCUUAUAAAAUUGUGGAUUUGAUGUAUAUCAAGUAUUAACUCGCAUUCAAAGGUUGAAAGUUCGAGCCUUUCCGGGGGAG